UACGGAGGAGGCAAGCGUUAUCCGGAAUUAUUGGGCGUAAAGCGUCCGCAGGUGGCACUUCAAGUCUGUCGUCAAAGACUGGGGCUUAACCCUGGAAAGGCGGUGGAAACUGAAGCGCUAGAGUGCGGUAGGGUAGAGGGAAUUCCCGGUGUAGCGGUGAAAUGCGUAGAGAUCGGGAAGAACAUCGGUGGCGAAAGCGCUCUACUGGACCGCAACU
This 217-nucleotide ribosomal RNA is filed under the name uncultured bacterium. Its description in RNAcentral is "partial 16S ribosomal RNA". It matches the Rfam family "Bacterial small subunit ribosomal RNA", at positions 524 to 741 of the family's 1533-position model. The record is from RNAcentral.